This 254-nucleotide ribosomal RNA is filed under the name uncultured bacterium. Its description in RNAcentral is "partial 16S ribosomal RNA". It matches the Rfam family "Bacterial small subunit ribosomal RNA", at positions 524 to 776 of the family's 1533-position model. The record is from RNAcentral.
UACGGAGGGUGCAAGCGUUAUCCGGAAUCACUGGGUUUAAAGGGUGCGUAGGCGGUGGUGUUAGUCAGUUGUGAAAUGCCCCGGCUUAACCGGCGGAAGUGCGAUUGAUACUGCAUCACUUGAAUCAGGAUGAGGCAGGCGGAAUGUGGCAUGUAGCGGUGCAAUGCUUAGAUAUGCCAUAGAACACCGAUUGCGAAGGCAGCUUGCUGGGCCUGAAUUGACGCUGAGGCACGAAAGCGUGGGGAGCAAACAGG